AGAUCUGACUUACCUUCCACCUUGGCUUCCUCCACUGCGGUCACCUCCACAGGCCAAUCGGUGGCACGCUCCUCCGCGGUCACCUCCACUGCCUCACCAACUGACUCCACACCAGCAGGGGGAGCCUCUAAUUCCACCACAGAUGCAGCCUCUACAACCUCCACAGGGGUGACUGCCACAGCAGUCUCAACUGGGGGAGCCUCAGAAGCUGGGGCUUCACAUUGGUGGCAUGAAGUGAAGAGGGGCUCCUUGACUUCCUCAGCCGGGGCUGCCUCUGCCUCCACUGCCACAACAUCUAGGGCUGAGGCUGCUGCCAGCAUUGCCGCCUCCACGACGAGCGCCUCAUCCUCAGACACUUGGGCUGUCUCCACAGCCUCCUUUGCCGCUGCCGGUUCCUCCGCUGCUGGGGCUUCCUCCACUGGGGCUUCCUCCACUGGGGCUUCCUCCACUACUACUGCUACCUCUUCGGCUGCAGGUACCUCUGCCUCAACUGGCGCUGCCUCUUCGACUGGGGCAGCCUCUUCUGGGGAAAAUCCCUCUACUGCUGGUGCUUCUACUAUUGGUCCCUCCUUGGCAGAAGCCUCAGGUACUUCCACAGCGGCAGAAGCCUCAGGUACUUCCACAGCGGCAGAAGCCUCAGGUACUUCCACAGCGGCAGAAGCCUCAGGUACUUCCACAGCGGCAGAAGCCUCAGGUACUUCCACAGCGGCAGAAGCCUCAGGAACUUCCACAGAGGCAGAAGCCUCAGGUACUUCCACAGCGGCAGAAGCCUCAGGUACUUCCACAGCGGCAGAAGCCUCAGGUACUUCCACAGCGGCAGAAGCCUCAGGUACUUCCACAGCGGCAGAAGCCUCAGGUACUUCCACAGCGGCAGAAGCCUCAGGUACUUCCACAGCGGCAGAAGCCUCAGGUACUUCCACAGCGGCAGAAGCCUCAGGUACUUCCACAGCGGCAGAAGCCUCAGGUACUUCCACAGCGGCAGAAGCCACAGGUACUUCCACAGCGGCAGAAGCCUCAGGUACUUCCACAGCGGCAGAAGACUCAGGUACUUCCACAGCGGCAGGGAGCUCUGGGGCCUCUAGGGGAAGUGCAGCCGUCUCCUCCUCUGCAACAGCAGCUGGAGCCUCCUCUACGGCGACCGGAACUACUUCCUCUGGCUCAGGGGUUGCCUCAGCAACCACUUCCUCUGUGACAUCAGGGGCAGCAACAACAGCCUCCUCUUCUGGUUCUUCAGUUUCCACGACAGCUGCUUCUGCAGCUAAUGCUUCUACUUCCAAUUCCUCCUCCACAGAUACUACUUCCUGCUCUACCUUAGCUUUAGGAACCUCCAGUGAUUCUAGAAUGUCCUCGGCGGGAGCGAGCAAGGAUUCUUCAGUCCGGUCUUCUUGGUGUUGGACGGCGGGCAUGAGCCUCCUCUCGGCUACCGAGGCAGCAGCGAUCUCAGAGCUGGCCAGGAGCUUCAUGGAGGCAGACGUGAUGUCAGACACAGCAUCUAAAAAGAGAAGCAACAGUCAUGUUAGUCUUGCAAGAAAAACAAAAAGGAUGCCUGUAUAUUGCAGAAACACUUUGGUGAGCUUUUCAGAAAAGUAUUUACAAAAAUAUUGUAUUUUCAAAGGAUGGAGCAGAUCAGCAGAUAUCAUACUAAAUCAGUCAUAA
Molecule: long non-coding RNA, 1656 nt
Filed under: Salmo trutta (river trout)
Lineage: Eukaryota; Metazoa; Chordata; Actinopteri; Salmoniformes; Salmonidae
Description: lncRNA (ENSSTUG00000031659.1)
Source: RNAcentral